CAUAAAGUAGAAAGCACUACUAGGCCUCUCUCCAAGUGUAGUGUUUCCUACUUUAUGGA
This 59-nucleotide microRNA precursor is filed under the name Eptatretus burgeri (inshore hagfish). RNAcentral describes it as "Ebu-Mir-142-v3_pre stem-loop". It matches the Rfam family "mir-142 microRNA precursor family", at positions 14 to 73 of the family's 85-position model. Lineage: Eukaryota; Metazoa; Chordata; Myxini; Myxiniformes; Myxinidae. The record is from RNAcentral.